GGAGAGGUGACAGAGUGGUCGAAUGUGCCGCACUCGAAACGCGGUGUACGGGAAACCGUACCGAGGGUUCGAAUCCCUCCCUCUCCG
Molecule: transfer RNA, 87 nt
Filed under: Candidatus Zambryskibacteria bacterium CG10_big_fil_rev_8_21_14_0_10_42_12
Lineage: Bacteria; Candidatus Zambryskiibacteriota
Description: tRNA-Ser
Rfam family: tRNA
About the family: Transfer RNA (tRNA) molecules are approximately 80 nucleotides in length. Their secondary structure includes four short double-helical elements and three loops (D, anti-codon, and T loops).
Source: RNAcentral